This is an RNA transcript of Strongylocentrotus purpuratus (purple sea urchin), 6429 nucleotides long. It is a transcript of the gene named zinc finger protein Xfin, with no coding region annotated. NCBI's taxonomy places the organism in Eukaryota, Metazoa, Echinodermata, Echinoidea, Camarodonta, Strongylocentrotidae. The transcript has 6 exons. The record is from RefSeq and is a predicted model, not a curated record.
CUGUUUUUACCUUCAUCAUUAGCUAAAUGAUUAGAAAGCUUCAAACACCAGAAAAAACGGCAACUAUCCAGAUCGACUGUUUACCGACAGUUUAUUCACAUGGAGGAAAGGCGAUUCUGAAAACUGUCUUGGAUAAGAUUGGACCCGUACCAGCCAGCUUUUUGAGAAGACCGCGAAGCAUUGUUGCUCUAGCUAGCUACGCCGCGCCUGACUGCCUGGCCUGGAUUGCUAGCAGUAGCACAGCAGCGGCCGAUCACGUCUCAUGAUCAUCAGUGAGUUGAUUAUGAGUUCAAUGACUUACCAAUCUACUCAGAUGUGGCUACAUUGGCUGUAAGCUGCCUAACAUGGAAAUUGAACUGCUGGAAAAUCUAAGAUCUGAAGAGUCUGUCACCCAGGCAAGUGACCCUCCACUGCAUGAGCAUGAUGAUCAUCCCUCACCAUCAACAGACCCUCCUCUAGUCGAAAAGGAUGAUCAUCCAGCAAAGACUGGUCCUCAAGUAGAGAAGUGGAAUGAUCAUCCACCAUCAAAAGACCCUCCUACAGACGAAAAGGAUGACCAUCCAGUGAUGACUGGUCCUCAAGUAGAGAAGCGGAUUGAUCAUCCACCAUCAACAGACCCUCCUACAGACGAAAAGGAUGACCAUCCAGUGAUGACUGGUCCUCAAGUAGUGAAGCGGAUUGAUCAUCCACCAUCAGCAGACCCUCCAACAGACAAAAAAGAUGACCAUCCAGAAAUCAAAGAUGAAACUACGAUAUUGCCAAAAGCAAAGCAAAUAAAGCAAGAGCCAAACAUCAAAAUGAAAGAAGAGCCAAUAGAUUUGGAAGAUGAUUAUGGUAUUCACAGCCAUAAAAUUGAUGAUGAUGAUGAUGAUGACGACAUCAUAGUGCUAGAUGUAACCCCAGGAAAUAAGAAAGGAAAGAAUAAAUCUAAAACUGCUUCUGAUGAAAAAGACAUUUUGAUUAUCAUUGAUGAUGAUGAUGACGAGGAAGAUGUAGAUCCUUCUACCACCUCUCAAACACCCAAAGAAAGAGUUGGAACAGAACCCAUUGUGGACCCUUCGGUUUCAGAUGACAUUCAAGUGGAUCAAGUGAAGACUGCCACUGAGAUCGGUGCCUCGCAUUCCAUUGUUGAGCCAUCAGAUGAGGGUGUUGACCCUAACGCCAAAUCCAUUUGUGAAGUUGCUAAAGAAUUGACAAAUCCUUGCCCUCCUACUCCAAGCACUACUCCAAGCUCUGCUGUAGGAAGUACAGUCGAAGCUAAUACUGACAUUGAAGUUGCAUCAGAAACAGUUUUACCCACCUCUCCAGAAAGUUUGGAUGAUUCUGAAAAGGGUAGUGAAGAUGCAACCACCAACCAGCUUGCUCUCAAAGACACUUUGUCCGUCCCUGAACCUCUUGAUAAAGAUGAAUCAACAGAACCGACCAAUUUCAUAGCUGAAGAAGAUGAUGCGAGGCCAGAACUUGAGGAUGGAGAUCAGCAAUUUGGUGAUGGCUAUGACAGUGAUGGUUGGGCGGUCGCCAGUGAUGUUGAUCCGGAUGAAGCCGCCGAGACAGGAGAGAACUCUGGCAAAGGAAUGGAAACCGAACAGAGUAUGGAUGAGUAUGAUACCAACCUGAAAACAAGACAAGAGGCUCUCAACACCAUUCCCCGACCGAUUCAGAUAAUUCCUGUGGAUUCAGACCAAACAACCAGACAAGACGAUAGUCCUGUACCCGUUGGAAUCAUUCCUAUAGCUUCAGAGAUGAGUACCGGAUCUGGUGAUGUCACGGCAGGUAAGGAAGUGACUGGAACAGGAGAGUCUGGGCAGCAAGCCUUAGUAUCACCAGUGACCAAAGAGAAUGUUGCAUCCAUGGACCAGAAUGGAUUAGAUUCUGACCAGGAUGAUGGUGAUUCUCCUGCUGCAAAGCAUGGCUUGCGUAGUCAAUGUAAACCAACAGAAGAGAGCAGAAGAGGUGCCGUUACCAGGAGCAAGCUCAGGUCAUGUAGCAAGUUGCUGAAAGGGGGGAAUAAAAAUGCAAUCCCCAGUGGAAAGCCUGUAGAGAGAAAAUUACGAGGUGUUGUCAAAGGAGAAUUACCACCUGAUAAUCCAGUCUUUAAUUGUCACCUUUGUUUUCAUUCGUUCGGAGAGAAGAAGUUGCUAGAAAAGCACCUUGUUAAUCAUCCGAAGGUCACACGUAUCAUGUGUGAAUACUGUAACACUUCAUUUGAUAAGCAGAGGAAUCUCACAAUGCACCUGAAGCGCUGCUUCAGACGGCGGAACCGAAAGAGUCCUAGGAAGACACUGAAUGGUGAAACCUCAAGGGUUAAGAAGGAGGAGAAUGCGGAUUCUCCCAGGAGGUCUGCAGUACAGGCCCCGUCUUUGAAAAGAGGGCUCAGGAAGCUGGGUUUUCUUUCAGCUAGGAAAGAUGGUCCCUGUACCAAAGCUGAAAGAACUAAUAACGAAAGUCACGUAAUACACGAGUGUAAAAUCUGUGAAAGAGUAUUUCCCUCAUUUAGAGGCUUAAGUAUGCACCGCAAGUUGAUACAUGUACGAGGCGACAAACGUGACAAAAGCUCAACCUCUUUGAAAAGAGGGCACGGGAAGCUGGGUUUUCCUUCGGUUAAGAAAGAAUGGCCCUGUACCAAAGCUGAAAGAACUAAUAACGAAAGUCAUGUAAUACACGAGUGUAAAAUCUGUGAAAGAGUAUUUCCCUCAUUUAGAGGCUUAAGUAUGCACCACAAAAAGAAACAUGCACAAGGCAACAAACGUGAAAAAAAUCCAAACCUUCAAGAGCUAGAGAAUCUAAAUCGUAGAAGAGAAAAAGAUGUGAAUCGAAAAAGGGGCAAGAAAUUUGGAGUUUGGCUAUGUCCAAAAUGCCAUGCCAGUUUUACUUCCAGGAAGAAAGUUAAGAGGCAUAUGUACCUAACACACAGUGAGACCUACACCAAGAAUGCAUUAAGAGAACUUGAAGCUGUACCUAAAGAAGAGGCCGUUAGAAUCAUCUAUUAUUGCUCAACAUGUAUAGAGUCAUUUCGAUCAGAACACUUCUUUGAUUGUCAUGAACCCACAAGGAAUAGUAGGAAGAGAUGCGAAAAACUCUUCCAAUGCAAUUUGUGUUUCAAACAUUUUAAGAAGAAAGCGGAAUGUGCUCGUCAUGUACAGGAGCAUCUAGGAUCUGUAGAGUCUGGGAAGAGAAAGAGAAAGAGAAGAUCAUCAAGUCCAGAUGAACAACAAUCAAGUAGAAAGAGAGCAAAAGUCAUUGACGGUUUCAAAUGCAAGUAUUGUAAUGAGACUUUCCAAUUCGAAUACCGGUGUGCCAAGCACGAGUUUACCCAUACUGACCGUGAUCCUUGGCAUUGCUAUAUUUGCUUUAAGAUCUUCUAUCUUAAAAGCUCCAUUGUUGCGCACAUGGAGAGAGCUCACAAAGAGGCAUCUUAUUGCAAAAAGUGCUAUUGCAUAAUUGCAAGCAAGAAUAAAAAGCGCUGUAUAGACUGUGACAAGAGAAGAAGAGCUGGCAGUGGUCUGAAGUGCAGCAUUUGCAAGACGGAGUUUGCAUCAGCCUCAGAUCUGACGUGUCACAUUCUGACCCAUGUCGAAAGUGGAGUUGAGACCCCGGUCAUAAGAGCCCCAAAGGCUUCAAGGGUGUUGUUGGACUCCAAAUUUAAGAAUGUUCCUCUGACUUCAGUGGUAAAGCACCCUCCAUCAAAGAUUCUGAAGACAUCCAAGAAAGUGGCAUGUUCUGUUGGUCGGCCCGUCACCAUUUCCUGCCCUGAAAGUUUGCUUCCAGAAGCACCACCAACAACUAAAACUGUUUCUUUAGCAGCAGAGCAUACCACCAGUGACAAGUACGACGUUUGCAUGAAGUGCGGGGAACAAGACAUUCCAGCCAAAGAGUUGAGUAGACAUGCGCGUACCCACUUGGAUGUGAGAUCUCGGUUCCAGUGCAACACAUGUCAGCAGUGCUUUGCGACCAUGUAUGAGAUCGAGGAGCACGGGUGUGUUCCCACUCACCAAGCCAGUUGCUCCUAUACCGUGUCCAACGUGGUGUACCAGUGUCAGUUCUGCGGCAGGGACUUCCCCACUAUGAUGGAAGCCAGGAAACAUGUGCUCUCCACGAACACCUCCUGUCUGUUGGAAUGCACAGUGUGUAAAGCCGAGUACUCGAGGCAAGGAGACCUGAUGGUUCAUAUGGUCAUUGUCCAUGGACAGUAUCUAGAAUGUGAUAAAUGCUCGGCUCAGUUUACCAAGCAGGUUGAUCUGGAUUUUCAUAUCAGGCAGCAUGAAGACAUGAGCCAUUAGAACCAUGCAGUAUGUAUGAGAGCCUAGCCAGAUGUAGGCCAGAAAAUGUCAUACCUUGUUUCAAGGUAUCAUAGGAAUUGCCUGAAUGUGAAUCUGAGCAGCGUUUCACGAAACAACAUUGCAUUGAAAUGCAUGUAUUAAGAUUAACAGGCAAUUUCAAUGGUAUGUCGGGAAACGGUGCCUCAAGGUCUUUCAAAUUCUUUUUGCAUUCACGUUCUCAUGGAGAGACUGACACUUUGACAGCAGUUUUUUUUUCUUGCAACUGGGUUUAAAAUUAUGGUUUAAUGUUGUACUUGUUUCAGAGGUCUUAAAAUAUUGGAGGUCUGGGAGUCUUAAUGUGCUACUUCUUUCAAUUCCUGUCAUGCAAAACAAUGUUUUUGUGCACAUUCAUUUGAAAAUAUUUGUAAAAUUUGUUCUUGCUGGUUUUCAUUAAAUCUGGACAUUUACGGUACAUGUAUUUCAAUUUUUCUAGCAACUGGGUUCAAAAUGGUUUAAUGUUGUACUUCUUUCAGAGGUCUUGCAAUAUUAGAGAAGGUCUUGAAAUAUUAGAGGUCUGGGAGUCUUAAUGUGCUACUUCAUUCAAUUCCUGUCUUGCAAAACAGUAACAUUCAUGUGAACAUUUUUAUGAAAAAAAGUAGAUUGCAAAUGUGUGAACUGUGUAGUGAAGUCUUAUUUGUUUAAUAUGUACAUGUUAUACAUGUAUCUCACUGUAUAAUGCAGUUCUUACAACGGAAAUGCAUUGUUCAGGGAAAAUCCCAAUUUCUCCAUAAAUGAGUUUCUUUCCUAUUUCUGCUAUUGUCUUCCAGAACUAACCAUAACGUUUGAUCAUGCCAUGAUCAUUAUUCAGUUCUUUUCUUUCUUUUCUCCUUUUGCACGACCAUGCAAAUAUAAUGUUCAAUUCAGUUGCCAGUAUUUCUUUCUUUUUGUACCAAAUUAUUUCAUGUAUAUACGGUAUACAUAAUCGUGCUAUGUCCAUGUAGAACCCUGUUUGUUUGUGGAGUUAUGUUGAGGCAUGACCAGUACUUAUAUUGAUAUGAAUACAUGUAUUUCUAUUUUGUUUUGUCAUUAUUUAUGGCAUAUUUUGCAUAAAUAAUAUAUUAAUUUUCAUUGGACAUAUGUAAAUGUAGGACAUGGACCCAGAAUCCCAGAUCCUUUUAAGUGUAAAAUUUACUACAAGAAACAAGUUCAAUCUAUUGAAUGCUUCUACCUGAAGACCCUGAGAGAUGAGAUAUUGCAAUAAUCUGGAAGGAGCUUUUGUAUUUCAGUUGUCACAAUGCAGGGUUUCAUACAUUGGUAGUUGCUAUGUCUGACAAGCUUGGGCUUUUCAUGAGAACCAAAUACCAGUAACCAUUAUGCACUGGAGUAGAAGCAUGUUUGAAUCUUGAGUACCGGUAUACAUGUAUCUGUUAACUUUUUGUUGAUCCUAUCUUCAGCUACCUGCUAAUGAGAAUUAUGCAUUUUGCAUGCCUCUAUACUACAAGAAUGACUUUAUCAAAACAUGGUGGAAAAAACUUGGUUAGCUGUGAUAAUGAUUACAUUGGAGGAAUCCUUUCAAAGUGUACUUGGAAGACACAUUUUAUAUUAUACAAUUUCUUAUUCUGAGGAAAUCAUCAUUAUGCAUAUGUAGAAUUCAGUUGUUCGUACUAUUCAUCAUUAUACAUGCAUAUGUAGGAGUUAGUUGUUCAUACUGUUCUUGCAAGCACAUGACAUUGUUUUUGUGUGUUCAUCUCUUGUGAUAUUUUCGUUGUUCUUGAUACGGAAAUCACUUUCUUGGAAUAAGUUGUGAUGUUGUAAUCCAGUAAUUAGUACUUAACUGCCUACAGCACUUAAUGUGUACUGUCUUAUACCACCCGAAGCAGCUCUAUAUGUAUUGUUCAUGUCAGUUGUUCUGUCAUCAUUAAGAAUUGUUGUCAUUAGAUCAUGUGAGUUUAUGAUAAGGUUAUCGUUAGAUCUGAUCUUGAUUUUCAAUAAUUACCUCUUGGUGAUGUCUGGCCUUUCAAUGGUUUAAGGCCAGACACCACAAAUAUCUCAAAAAUACUUGUGCAAGUGAAGUUUCCAGCUUGUUGAGAUUAUCAUGGAAUACUGUUUUAAUCGGUAGAAUUUUAUAUGUUUGUACGAAACAAAUACUGUAUUAAACGACCAAAGAAGA